CGGUAACAGACCGAACCUAGUUUGGUGCUGACGAGUGGCGCACGGGUGAGUAACGCGUACACGACCUACCUUGUACUGGAGGAUAGCCCUGGGAAACCGGGAGUAAUACUCCAUGGACUGGCAACAGUAAAGCUACGGCGGUACGAGAUGGGUGUGCGUCCCAUUAGCUAGUUGGUGAGGUAACGGCUCACCAAGGCGACGAUGGAUAGGGGGCGUGAGAGCGUGGCCCCCCACACUGGUACUGGGACACGGACCAGAUACCUACGGGUAGCAGCAGCAAGGAAUAUUGCGCAAUGGGGGAAACCCUGACGCAGCAACACCGCGUGGAGGAGGAAGGCCUUCGGGUCGUAAACUCCUUUUCUGGGUGAAUAGAAAGGAAGGUAGCCCAGGAAUAAGGCCCGGCUAACUACGUGCCAGCAGCCGCGGUAAAACGUAGGGGCCAAGCGUUAUCCGGAAUUACUGGGCGUAAAGCGCGUGCAGGCGGUUAUUCAAGUUGGACGUGAAAGCUCUCGGCUCAACUGGGAGAGGUCGUUCAAAACUGAGUAACUAGAGGGUGGUAGAGGCGAGUGGAAUUCCCGGUGUAGUGGUGAAAUGCGUAGAUAUCGGGAGGAACACCAGUGGCGAAGGCGGCUCGCUGGGCCACACCUGACGCUCAGACGCGAAAGCUAGGGGAGAGAACGGGAUUAGAAACCCCGGUAUUCCUAGCCGUAAACGAUGUCCACUAGGUGUAGGGGGUAACCAAUCCCUCUGUGCUACAGCUAUCGCGAUAAGUGGACCGCCUGGGGACUACGGCCGCAAGGCUAAAACUCAAAGGAAUUGACGGGGACCCGCACAAGCAGCGGAGCGUGUGGUUUAAUUCGAGGCUACGCGAAGAACCUUACCGGGGUUUGACAUCUGCGUGGUAGCCGGUGGAAACACGGGUGACUCCUUCGGGGAGCGCAGACAGGUGCUGCAUGGCUGUCGUCAGCUCGUGCCGUGA
RNAcentral lists this ribosomal RNA (979 nucleotides) under uncultured bacterium. RNAcentral's name for it is "bacterial SSU rRNA". It matches the Rfam family "Bacterial small subunit ribosomal RNA", at positions 67 to 1070 of the family's 1533-position model. The record is from RNAcentral.